AAACAUUUUAAGUGGAAUGAUACAGAGAAGAUUAGCCUGGCCCCUCUGUAAGCAUGACACACAAAUUUGAAGCAUUCCAUUUAAAA
Molecule: small nuclear RNA, 86 nt
Organism: Equus caballus (horse)
Lineage: Eukaryota; Metazoa; Chordata; Mammalia; Perissodactyla; Equidae
Source: Ensembl